UGAGUCGGCCGGGCGGCCGCGACGGCGCGCCGCGUCGUCGAGGAAAGUCCGGACUCCACAGGGCAGGGUGGUUGUUAACGGCAACCCGGGGCGACCCGCGGGACAGUGCCACAGAAAACAGACCGCCCGGUCCGCCUCGGCGGACCGGGUAAGGGUGAAACGGUGGUGUAAGAGACCACCAGCACCCCGGGUGACCGGGGUGGCUCGGUAAACCCCACCCGGAGCAAGGCCAAGAGGGCGGGAGACCGCCUGCGCGAACGUUCGAGGGCUGCCCGCCCGAGUUCGCGGGUAGGCCGCUGGAGCCUGUCGGUGACGGCAGGUCUAGAUGGAUGGUCGCCGGCCGUCGGACCGAGAGGUCCGGUGGUCACAGAAUCCGGCUUACAGGUCGACUCGUCCC
Molecule: RNase P RNA, 397 nt
Filed under: Actinoalloteichus sp. AHMU CJ021
Lineage: Bacteria; Bacillati; Actinomycetota; Actinomycetes; Pseudonocardiales; Pseudonocardiaceae
Description: RNase P RNA component class A
Rfam family: Bacterial RNase P class A
About the family: Ribonuclease P (RNase P) is a ubiquitous endoribonuclease, found in archaea, bacteria and eukarya as well as chloroplasts and mitochondria. Its best characterised activity is the generation of mature 5'-ends of tRNAs by cleaving the 5'-leader elements of precursor-tRNAs.
Source: RNAcentral